UNCCAUGUGUAGCGGUGAAAUGCGUAGAUAUAUGGAGGAACACCGGUGGCGAAAGCGGCUCUCUGGUCUGUAACUGACGCUGAGGCUCGAAAGCGUGGGGAGCAAACAGGAUUAGAUACCNUGGUAGUCCACGCCGUAAACGAUGAGUGCUAGGUGUUAGGCCCUUUCCGGGGCUUAGUGCCGCAGCUAACGCGUUAAGCACUCCGCCUGGGGAGUACGACCGCAAGGUUGAAACUCAAAGGAAUUGACGGGGGCCCGCACAAGCGGUGGAGCAUGUGGUUUAAUUCGAAGCAACGCGAAGAACCUUACCAGGUCUUGACAUCCCUCUGACCGCUCUAGAGAUAGAGUUUUCCUUCGGGACAGAGGUGACAGGUGGUGCAUGGUUGUCGUCAGCUCGUGUCGUGAGAUGUUGNNNNAANNNNNNNNNNCGAGCGCAACCCCUAUUGUUAGUUGCCAUCAUUCAGUUGGGCACUCUAGCGAGACUGCCGGUAAUAAACNGGAGGAAGGUGGGGAUGACGUCAAAUCAUCAUGCCCCUUAUGACCUGGGCUACACACGUGCUACAAUGGCUGGUACAACGAGUCGCAAGCCGGUGACGGCAAGCUAAUCUCUGAAAGCCAGUCUCAGUUCGGAUUGUAGGCUGCAACUCGCCUACAUGAAGUCGGAAUCGCUAGUAAUCGCGGAUCAGCACGCCGCGGUGAAUACGUUCCCGGGCNU
This 715-nucleotide ribosomal RNA is filed under the name uncultured bacterium. RNAcentral describes it as "partial 16S ribosomal RNA". It matches the Rfam family "Bacterial small subunit ribosomal RNA", at positions 667 to 1381 of the family's 1533-position model. The record is from RNAcentral.